CCUACGGGGUGCAGCAGUGGGGAAUAUUGCACAAUGGGCGCAAGCCUGAUGCAGCCAUGCCGCGUGUAUGAAGAAGGCCUUCGGGUUGUAAAGUACUUUCAGCGAGGAGGAAGGCAUUAAGGUUAAUAACCUUGAUGAUUGACGUUACUCGCAGAAGAAGCACCGGCUAACUCCGUGCCAGCAGCCGCGGUAAUACGGAGGGUGCAAGCGUUAAUCGGAAUUACUGGGCGUAAAGCGCACGCAGGCGGUCUGUCAAGUCGGAUGUGAAAUCCCCGGGCUCAACCUGGGAACUGCAUCCGAAACUGGCAGGUUAGAGUCUUGUAGAGGGGGGUAGAAUUCCAUGUGUAGCGGUGAAAUGCGUAGUGAUGUGGAGGAAUACCGGUGGCGAAGGCGGCCCCCUGGACAAAGACUGACGCUCAGGUGCGAAAGCGUGGGGAGCAAACAGGAUUAGAUACCCUUGUAGUC
RNAcentral lists this ribosomal RNA (465 nucleotides) under uncultured bacterium. RNAcentral's name for it is "bacterial SSU rRNA". It matches the Rfam family "Bacterial small subunit ribosomal RNA", at positions 338 to 795 of the family's 1533-position model. The record is from RNAcentral.